UACGUAGGGUGCAAGCGUUGUCCGGAAUUAUUGGGCGUAAAGAGCUCGUAGGCGGUCUGUCGCGUCGGCUGUGAAAACCCGGGGCUCAACCCCGGGCCUGCAGUCGAUACGGGCAGACUAGAGUGCGGUAGGGGAGACUGGAAUUCCUGGUGUAGCGGUGAAAUGCGCAGAUAUCAGGAGGAACACCGGUGGCGAAGGCGGGGUCUCUGGGCCGUAACUGACGCUGAGGAGCGAAAGCGUGGGGAGCGAACAGG
RNAcentral lists this ribosomal RNA (254 nucleotides) under uncultured bacterium. RNAcentral's name for it is "partial 16S ribosomal RNA". It matches the Rfam family "Bacterial small subunit ribosomal RNA", at positions 524 to 776 of the family's 1533-position model. The record is from RNAcentral.